Molecule: ribosomal RNA, 203 nt
Filed under: Clostridioides difficile
Lineage: Bacteria; Bacillati; Bacillota; Clostridia; Peptostreptococcales; Peptostreptococcaceae
Description: partial 23S ribosomal RNA
Rfam family: Bacterial large subunit ribosomal RNA
Source: RNAcentral
GCGUUGAAAAGCUCGGGGAUGACUUGUGGGUAGCGGUGAAAUUCCAAUCGAGCCCGGAGAUAGCUGGUUCUCCCCGAAAUAGCUUUAGGGCUAGCCUCAAGGUGAGAGAUACGGAGGUAGAGCACUGAAUGUCCUAGGGGGUAUUGCACCUACCGAAGACUAUCAAACUCCGAAUGCCGUCAUCUUAUACUUGGGAGUCAGAC